AGAGAAGCCACGAGGGCUCUGGAUGUAAGUUUUGUUUCUCUUACAACUUUGAUAUUUUUGUUGGUUUGAGCAAGUACUUAUUAUUUAAGAUGGUCAGCAGUAUCAUUUUUAUCUUUUUGGCUUGUUAAUUGUUUAGAUGGUCUGUUUACUGCUCCGGAAGUGGCAGACAGACUUUGGUUAGUCAAACAAAAAAUGCUACCCUCCAGACCAUUAACUACUGUGUGUGUGUGUGUGUAGGGGAGUGUGCUAGCGUGUUCAUAUUUCCCUUCUUUUUCCUGGAUGGAAUGAGUGCUGAGAACUUCUGUAGCCCAUCAUUUCCAUUGAAUUGAUCUUUUCAUCCCUGCACUCUAAGUUGCGCUUUUUUCUUUUUUCUUUAUCUUUUUUAAUAUUGUUUGUUGUUUUAGAUUUUAACUAUACAACUGGAACAAGGUAAAUUUCUUUUUGAGUCGCAUAUUUUUUUGUCUUGGAUCUGUCGACCUCAAUCUGUGUGAUUAAUAUCACUUUUAGUGCUGAUUUCAGAACUUUCUAGCUUAUAUGGCCAAAGUCUUGCUGAUGUCAUUUUCUUUCAAGUGUGCACUUGUUGAUAUUUUAGGCUAAUAAGAGAUGGUACUUCGGUGCGGAUUAUUUUUAUUUAUUUAUUUUUUUUUAAAGUUUUGUAGAGCUUGACCGAUGUAGACUUCUUGAUGGUGUAUCAAUAUUUGUUAUUAAUUUUGUUUUGUGAAUUCCAG
This 728-nucleotide unclassified non-coding RNA is filed under the name Hevea brasiliensis (rubber tree). Lineage: Eukaryota; Viridiplantae; Streptophyta; Magnoliopsida; Malpighiales; Euphorbiaceae. The record is from RNAcentral.